GACAGAGGGUGCAAACGUUGCUCGGAAUCACUGGGCGUAAAGCGCGUGUAGGCGGAUGUUCAAGUCAGGUGUGAAAGCCCUGGGCUCAACCCAGGAACUGCAUCUGAAACUGGACGUCUUGAGUACUGGAGAGGGAAGCGGAAUUCCUGGUGUAGAGGUGAAAUUCGUAGAUAUCAGGAGGAACACCGGUGGCGAAGGCGGCUUCCUGGACAGUGACUGACGCUGAGACGCGAAAGCGUGGGGAGCAAACCGG
This 253-nucleotide unclassified non-coding RNA is filed under the name uncultured Myxococcales bacterium. RNAcentral's name for it is "contains 16S-23S intergenic spacer region". It matches the Rfam family "Bacterial small subunit ribosomal RNA", at positions 524 to 776 of the family's 1533-position model. The record is from RNAcentral. Lineage: Bacteria; Pseudomonadati; Myxococcota; Myxococcia; Myxococcales.